Molecule: ribosomal RNA, 253 nt
Filed under: uncultured bacterium
Lineage: Bacteria
Description: partial 16S ribosomal RNA
Rfam family: Bacterial small subunit ribosomal RNA
Source: RNAcentral
UACGGAGGGUGCAAGCGUUAUCCGGAUUCACUGGGUUUAAAGGGUGCGUAGGUGGGUUUGUAAGUCCGUGGUGAAAUCUCCAAGCUUAACUUGGAAACCGCCGUGGAUACUAUAAAUCUUGAAUGCUGUGGAGGUGAGCGGAAUAUGUCAUGUAGCGGUGAAAUGCUUAGAUAUGACAUAGAACACCAAUUGCGAAGGCAGCUCACUACACAGAUAUUGACACUGAGGCACGAAAGCGUGGGGAUCAAACAGG